RNAcentral lists this ribosomal RNA (253 nucleotides) under uncultured bacterium. Its description in RNAcentral is "partial 16S ribosomal RNA". It matches the Rfam family "Bacterial small subunit ribosomal RNA", at positions 524 to 776 of the family's 1533-position model. The record is from RNAcentral.
UACGGAGGGGGCUAGCGUUGUUCGGAAUUACUGGGCGUAAAGCGCACGUAGGCGGACCGGACAGUCAGAGGUGAAAUCCCAGGGCUCAACCUUGGAACUGCCUUUGAAACUAUCGGUCUGGAGUUCGAGAGAGGUGAGUGGAAUUCCGAGUGUAGAGGUGAAAUUCGUAGAUAUUCGGAGGAACACCAGUGGCGAAGGCGGCUCACUGGCCUGGUACUGACGCUGAGGUGCGAAAGCGUGGGGAGCAAACAGG